RNAcentral lists this ribosomal RNA (253 nucleotides) under uncultured bacterium. Its description in RNAcentral is "partial 16S ribosomal RNA". It matches the Rfam family "Bacterial small subunit ribosomal RNA", at positions 524 to 776 of the family's 1533-position model. The record is from RNAcentral.
UACAGAGGGUGCGAGCGUUGUCCGGAAUCACUGGGCGUAAAGGGCGCGUAGGUGGCCUGGUAAGUAGGGGGUGAAAUCUCGCGGCUCAACUGCGAGGCUGCCUCCUAAACUGUCAGGCUCGAGCAGAGUAGAGGCAGGUGGAAUUCCCGGUGUAGCGGUGGAAUGCGUAGAGAUCGGGAAGAACAUCGGUGGCGAAGGCGGCCUGCUGGGCUCUUGCUGACGCUGAGGCGCGCCAGCGUGGGGAGCAAACAGG